CACGGAAGAUAUGAACUUCUCUAACGAGCCAUUCGGUAAGAACUCGUAAACUAGAGCUCUUCUAAAUCCAUCAGCGCAAAAGCCAAUCAAACGAACCACAUUAACAUGGUGAAUCGUACCGAUUGUUCUCACUUCGUUUAUGAAUUCUUCUCCAUUUCCUUUGGAAGUGCUCAAGAUCUUUACUGCAACUUGGAUUUCAUCAGAAAGCUUUCCUUUGAAGACUGUUCCGUAGGCUCCUUCACCCAAUUUUUCAGAUUUGCAGCUCUGAUUGUUUUUGUGCUCCUACUCCAUCAAACUUGCAUUGCCAAGGAUACAAGUCAGGACUGUGUUCCUUCUUCCUGCGGCAAUAUCCACAACAUAAGCCAUCCGUUUCGAUUACAAGGCGAUCCACCAAAUUGUGGCGACCCAAGAUAUAGCCUGUCAUGCGAGAACAACCAAACGUUGCUGUACUUAUUUUCUGGAAUAUACUACGUCAAGGCAAUCGAUUACAACAACCUCACAAUCCGAGUUGUUGACCCUGGCAUUAAUCUAGAAGAUAACUACUCCUUCAUCCCUCGUUAUUUUUUAAGCCUGACAAAUUUCAGUUUAAAGGUUCCAUACGUCUCAAGCGUUCCACACUAUUUAGGCUACGAUGAAGUCAGGCUUUUGUCAGCCAAUGUGGUUUUCUUGAAGUGUGAAAAGCCAGUGAAUUCUACUGAUUAUUUGGACGUUUCAACCUGUUCUGAUAACGGAUCAUACUCUUCCAACUCUACUUUGUCCCAUUCCAAGAGGUAUAGAUACGUUCUAUUUCUCAACUCGAUCAAAGCAGAGUAUGUGGCGGACUUGUGCCAAGUAGAGCAGAUAAUGACUCUGUCAUCGUCGCCCAUUUCAUAUCAGGCCGUCCCAAGAAAAUUUUCCUGUACAGACUUCCACAAUGAAUUGGUGGAAUAUGGCUUUGAGUUGUCAUUCGCACAAAACUGUGGCUGCAACAAUGGCGAACGUUGUUCCCUCAGUGACUCGGGCGUUGUUCAGUGCCAUUCUCAAAAUGGAAUGCUUGGUGCACUAACAACUAUUAUCAACAGACUAACUCCGAACUUGAUCAGACAAAGAGUCGAUGAUCAGAUACUACCAAAGUAUGGAUAUAGAGUUUCUUUAAUCAGAUUAUUGUUGAUAACGAGCAUUGAUACUGGACUGUACCUUGCAGCAAAAAGUAUGUUCUGGACUCCAUUCGUGAUUGCAUUUUUGAUUUAUAAAUGGCAUAGGAGACAUUUGUCAAUGUAUGACACCGUUGAAGAAUUUCUACAAAGUCAAAAUUACCUCAUGCCAAUAAGGUAUUCUUAUUCAGAAAUUUGUAAGAUGACCAAAAGUUUCAAGGAAGAAUUAGGUGAAGGAGGCUUUGGUACUGCAUUUAAAGGAACACUUCGAAGUGGCCAAAUUGUAGCUGUAAAGAUGUUAAGUAAAUCCAAUGCUAAUGGUCAGGAUUUUAUCAAUGAGGUUGCAACAAUUGGAAGGAUUCACCAUGUUAAUGUAGUGAAACUCAUUGGUUUUUGCGUUGAAAGAUCAAAGCGGGCUCUUGUAUACGAGUUCAUGUCUAAUGGGUCUCUCAAUAAAUAUAUUUUUUCACAAGGAAGUAUCCUCCUUAGCUAUGAGAAAAUACUUGAUGUUGCUCUAGGAGUGGCUCGCGGGAUUGAAUAUUUACAUCGAGGUUGUGAUAUGCAGAUCUUGCAUUUUGAUAUCAAGCCUCACAACAUUCUCUUAGACGAGAAUUUUACUCCCAAAGUUUCUGAUUUUGGCCUUGCAAAAUUGUAUCCAGCAGAUGACAACAUUGUUUCUUUGACUUCUGCAAGAGGGACAUUAGGAUACAUGGCUCCUGAGCUGUACUACAAAAACAUUGGAGGCAUUUCAUACAAAGCUGAUGUUUAUAGUUUUGGAAUGUUAUUGAUGGAAAUGGCUAGUAGAAGAAAGAACUUUAAUACUUUUGCAGAGCAUUCAAGUCAAACUUACUUCCCCACUUGGGCUUAUGAUCAGUUCUGCAAUGGAAAGGAUGUAGAACUGGAAGGUACCAAGGAAGAGGACAAAAAAAUAGGCAAAAAAAUGAUCAUAGUUGCAUUAUGGUGUAUACAGAUGAAUCCUAAUAAUCGUCCUUCUAUGACUAAAGUGGUAGAAAUGCUUGAAGGAGAAGUUGACUGCUUACAAAUGCCUUCCAAGCCUUUCUUAUCAUCAUCAUCAGCAUCAGCAUCAUCAUCAUAUAAACAAGUAGAUAUUGAAGACAGUUCAACCCAAACAUGGUCAUCAAUCCGAUCAAGUGAAUCAAGUGCCUUCAAUCAAGCAUAGAUGCCAGAUUCAUUGACUCACUCGUACUUGACAAAUGGAUUGAAUCUUGGGUUGAGAAAUGACAAGAACUCCUCUAUACAAUUGGAAAUGGAGACGUUCAUUGGGCUGAUAUAGAGUUUUGAGAGUAAAUAGUGCUGAUAUCUGUGUCUAUGAUUAUGCUUUUGGAAAAUAUAUUCAGAGAGAUUAAUCAAGCAGCAAAUUUCUUACCCGUUAGCCAAAUUGGGAGAUUGAAGUGGUGCUACUAGUGACUAUGUCACUUGGCUGGAUCUUCCCAGAGAGCAAUGGAUUAUUGAUAGUGAUUGAGAGAGCAUGUUUGCCUUGUAUUAGAUGUAAAUGAGUUAUGUUUUCUUUAGGGUGGGGAGGUUCUUUCUUUCCUGAAUAUUAGAUGUACUGCGGCUUUACUCCCAUCCCUAAAUUGAGAGAGCAUGUUUGUCUGUAUUAAUUUCUUACACAAGUUUAUGUAUUGGCUUGAUCACCAGUACUCUUGGAGUUUAUAGUGAGCCUAAUUUUUUUUU
RNA transcript from Juglans regia (Persian walnut), 2828 nucleotides. It is a transcript of the gene named rust resistance kinase Lr10-like, with no coding region annotated. The transcript has 8 exons. NCBI's taxonomy places the organism in Eukaryota, Viridiplantae, Streptophyta, Magnoliopsida, Fagales, Juglandaceae. The record is from RefSeq and is a predicted model, not a curated record.